This 396-nucleotide ribosomal RNA is filed under the name uncultured bacterium. RNAcentral describes it as "bacterial SSU rRNA". It matches the Rfam family "Bacterial small subunit ribosomal RNA", at positions 354 to 767 of the family's 1533-position model. The record is from RNAcentral.
GUUGGGAAUAUUGGGCAAUGGGGGCAACCCUGAUCCAGCCAUGCCGCGUGAGCGAUGAAGGCCUUCGGGUUGUAAAGCUCUUUUGGCGGGGACGAUGAUGACGGUACCCGCAGAAUAAGCCCCGGCUAACUUCGUGCCAGCAGCCGCGGUAAGACGAAGGGGGCAAGCGUUGUUCGGAAUUACUGGGCGUAAAGGGCGCGUAGGCGGUUUGCUUAGUCAGGCGUGAAAGCCCUGGGCUUAACCUGGGAUGUGCGCUUGAUACUGGCAGGCUUGAGUGUGGGAGAGGUUGGUGGAAUUCCCAGUGUAGAGGUGAAAUUCGUAGAUAUUGGGAAGAACACCGGUGGCGAAGGCGGCCAACUGGACCACAACUGACGCUGAGGCGCGAAAGCGUGGGGA